This 570-nucleotide ribosomal RNA is filed under the name uncultured fungus. Its description in RNAcentral is "eukaryotic LSU rRNA". The stretch from base 208 to 361 matches the Rfam family "5.8S ribosomal RNA". Lineage: Eukaryota; Fungi. The record is from RNAcentral.
CGUAACAAGGUCUCCGUAGGUGAACCUGCGGAGGGAUCAUUACACAAAUAUGAAGGCGGGCUGGAACCUCUCGGGGUUACAGCCUUGCUGAAUUAUUCACCCUUGUCUUUUGCGUACUUCUUGUUUCCUUGGUGGGUUCGCCCACCACUAGGACAAACAUAAACCUUUUGUAAUUGCGAUCAGCGUCAGUAACAAAUUAAUAAUUACAACUUUCAACAACGGAUCUCUUGGUUCUGGCAUCGAUGAAGAACGCAGCGAAAUGCGAUAAGUAGUGUGAAUUGCAGAAUUCAGUGAAUCAUCGAAUCUUUGAACGCACAUUGCGCCCUUUGGUAUUCCAAAGGGCAUGCCUGUUCGAGCGUCAUUUGUACCCUCAAGCUUUGCUUGGUGUUGGGCGUCUUGUCUCUAGCUUUGCUGGAGACUCGCCUUAAAGUAAUUGGCAGCCGGCCUACUGGUUUCGGAGCGCAGCACAAGUCGCACUCUCUAUCAGCAAAGGUCUAGCAUCCAUUAAGCCUUUUUUUCAACUUUUGACCUCGGAUCAGGUAGGGAUACCCGCUGAACUUAAGCAUAUCA